This 748-nucleotide ribosomal RNA is filed under the name uncultured bacterium. Its description in RNAcentral is "bacterial SSU rRNA". It matches the Rfam family "Bacterial small subunit ribosomal RNA", at positions 56 to 785 of the family's 1533-position model. The record is from RNAcentral.
UGCAGUCGAGCGGAACGAGUUGUCUGAACCUUCGGGGAACGAUAACGGCGUCGAGCGGCGGACGGGUGAGUAAUGCCUGGGAAAUUGCCCUGAUGUGGGGGAUAACCAUUGGAAACGAUGGCUAAUACCGCAUAAUAGCUUCGGCUCAAAGAGGGGGACCUUCGGGCCUCUCGCGUCAGGAUAUGCCCAGGUGGGAUUAGCUAGUUGGUGAGGUAAGGGCUCACCAAGGCGACGAUCCCUAGCUGGUCUGAGAGGAUGAUCAGCCACACUGGAACUGAGACACGGUCCAGACUCCUACGGGAGGCAGCAGUGGGGAAUAUUGCACAAUGGGCGCAAGCCUGAUGCAGCCAUGCCGCGUGUAUGAAGAAGGCCUUCGGGUUGUAAAGUACUUUCAGCAGUGAGGAAGGUGGUGUACUUAAUACGUGCAUCAUUUGACGUUAGCUGCAGAAGAAGCACCGGCUAACUCCGUGCCAGCAGCCGCGGUAAUACGGAGGGUGCGAGCGUUAAUCGGAAUUACUGGGCGUAAAGCGCAUGCAGGUGGUUUGUUAAGUCAGAUGUGAAAGCCCGGGGCUCAACCUCGGAAUUGCAUUUGAAACUGGCAGACUAGAGUACUGUAGAGGGGGGUAGAAUUUCAGGUGUAGCGGUGAAAUGCGUAGAGAUCUGAAGGAAUACCGGUGGCGAAGGCGGCCCCCUGGACAGAUACUGACACUCAGAUGCGAAAGCGUGGGGAGCAAACAGGAUUAGAUAC